GCAAGAUACCACGGGCGCACGGCGGAUGCCUUGGCACAGGGAGCCGAUGAAGGACGCGGCAAGCUGCGAUAAUCCCCGGCGAGGAGCACACAUCCUUCGACCCGGGGGUCUCCGAAUGGGCGAACCCAUGCACAGAGGUGUGCAUAUCCCCGGCCCGAACACAUAGGGCCGGGGAGGACAACCCGGGGAACUGAAACAUCUAAGUACCCGGAGGAGAGGAAAUCAAUCUCGAGACUCCCCGAGUAGCGGCGAGCGAAAGGGGACCGAUGGCCAAACCGUCGAGCGGGCAUACCCGGCAGGGGUUCCGCCGACGGGGUUGCAGGGCCGCGCAUCCGGGGGCUGCCGCCCCCGGGCGCAGGUCCGGCUGGGGAGCGGAACGGCAUGGGAGGGCCGGCCGCAGCGGGUGACAGCCCCGUACGCGAACCCAGACCGGACGGCGCGACGCGGUCCCUGAGUAGGGCCGGGCACGUGAAACCCGGUCCGAACCUGGGUGGACCACCAUCCAAGCCUGAGUACUACCCUGUGACCGAUAGCGCACCAGUACCGUGAGGGAAAGGUGAAAAGCACCCCGGGAGGGGAGUGAAACAGUACCUGAAACCGUGCGCCCACGAGCAGUCGGAGCACCUUUAUGGUGUGACGGCGUGCCUUUUGUAGAAUGAGCCAGCGAGUCGCUGGCGCGGGGCGAGGUUAACCGAAAGGGAGCCGGAGCGAAAGCGAGCCUUAACAGGGCGACUUGAGUCCCGCGCCGCGGACGCGAAGCCGGGUGAGCUAUCCGUGGGCAGGCUGAAGCGGGGGUAAGACCCCGUGGAGGGCCGAACGCACGUCGGUUGAAAACGGCGGCGAUGACCUGCGGAUAGGGGUGAAAGGCCAAUCAAACCCGGAGAUAUCUCGUUCUCCCCGAAAUAGCUUUAGGGCUAGCGUCGCGCGUUCACCGCCGGAGGUAGAGCACCGGAUGGACGAGGGGGCUUCGCCGCCUACCGAAUCCAACCGAACUCCGAAUGCCGGCGGCCCAGAGCGCGGCAGUCAGAGCAUGUGGGCUAAGCUGUGUGCUCGAGAGGGAAACAGCCCGGACCGCCCGCUAAGGUCCCCAAGUUCCAGCCGAGUGGCAAAGGAUGUGCGUCCGCCCAGACAACCAGGAUGUUGGCUUAGAAGCAGCCAUCCAUUCAAAGAGUGCGUAACAGCUCACUGGUCGAGUGGACAUGCGCCGACAAUACACGGGGCUAAGCUGGACACCGAAGCGGCGGGAUUUUGAUUUUCAGAAUCGGUAGGGGAGCUUCCCAUGGGCGGAGAAGCCGGAGGGCGACCGACGGUGGAGCGCAUGGGAGUGAGAAUGCUGGCAUGAGUAGCGAGAGACGAGAGAGUAACUCGUCCGCCGUGAACCCGAGGUUUCCUGGGCAAGGCUAAUCCUCCCAGGGUCAGUCGGGGGCUAAGGCGAGGCCGGUAGGCGUAGCCGACGCGCAGCAGGCAGACAUUCCUGCACCGCGCACGCGGCGCUACGACCGACGGGGCGACGGAUGGGGGUGGCUCGGCGGGGUUCUGGACGUCCCCGUGAUGGAGCGCGGCCCGCGGACCAGGGAAAUCCGGUCCGCAUCGAGGGCGAGGCUCCGGACGAAGCGAUCAAGCGAAGCGAGUGAGCCCGAGGUCCCUAGAAAAACCCCUAGGCAGGCGCGUGCGCGCCCGUACCGCAAACCGACACAGGUGGGUGGGUAGAACAUACCGAGGCGAUCGGGUCAACCAUGGUCAAGGAACUCGGCACAAUGGCCCCGUAACUUCGGGAGAAGGGGUGCCCGCGCGUACGUGAACGGACUUGCUCCGGGAGCGGAGGCGGGCCGCAGUGGAGAGGCCCAAGCGACUGUUUACCAAAAACACAGGACUCUGCAGAAGCCGCAAGGCGACGUAUAGGGUCUGACGCCUGCCCGGUGCCGGAAGGUCACGCGGAGGAGUUAGCCGAUUCGGCGAAGCCCCGAAGCCAAGCCCCGGUAAACGGCGGCCGUAACUAUAACGGUCCUAAGGUAGCGAAAUUCCUUGUCGGGUAAGUUCCGACCUGCACGAAAGGCGCAACGACUUGGGCGCUGUCUCGACCAUGGACCCGGUGAAAUUGCACUGGUCGUGAAGAUGCGACUUACCCGCGGAAGGACGGAAAGACCCCGUGAACCUUCACUGCAGCUUGGCAUUGGCCGCUGGUCCCGCGUGUAGAGGAUAGGCAGGAGGCAUCGAUCCGGAGGCGCCAGCCCCCGGGGAGCCGCCCUUGGAAUACUGCCCUCGCGCGACCGGCGUCCUAACCCGAGGCCGUCAACCGGCUCGGGGACCGUGCCAGGCGGGCAGUUUGACUGGGGCGGUCGCCUCC
Molecule: ribosomal RNA, 2347 nt
Filed under: gut metagenome
Description: bacterial LSU rRNA
Rfam family: Bacterial large subunit ribosomal RNA
Source: RNAcentral